UUCUUAUUAAGAGAGGUGGAGGGACUGGCCCUAUGAAACCUCGGCAGCGGACUUAUUCAAGUACUGUGCCAAUUCCAGUAGCAUUAACUUGAAGAUAAGAA
Molecule: non-coding RNA, 101 nt
Filed under: Batrachochytrium dendrobatidis
Lineage: Eukaryota; Fungi; Chytridiomycota; Chytridiomycetes; Rhizophydiales
Description: SAM-I sequence
Rfam family: SAM riboswitch aptamer (S box leader)
About the family: The SAM riboswitch is found upstream of a number of genes which code for proteins involved in methionine or cysteine biosynthesis in Gram-positive bacteria. The SAM riboswitch acts at the level of transcription termination control. The predicted structure consists of a complex stem-loop region followed by a single stem loop terminator region.
Source: RNAcentral